CGGUAAGGACGGCCUUACGACGCUUGGCGUGAACACUUCGGGGACGGCCCCA
RNAcentral lists this non-coding RNA (52 nucleotides) under Pseudomonas monteilii. RNAcentral's name for it is "Guanidine-II sequence". It matches the Rfam family "Guanidine-II riboswitch aptamer (mini-ykkC)". From Rfam's summary of the family: Simpler in structure and has fewer highly conserved nucleotide positions than the ykkC-yxkD leader. Despite this each of its two stem-loop structures directly bind free guanidine. The record is from RNAcentral. Lineage: Bacteria; Pseudomonadati; Pseudomonadota; Gammaproteobacteria; Pseudomonadales; Pseudomonadaceae.